UUGACCUCGGAUCAGGUAGGGAUACCCGCUGAACUUAAGCAUAUCAAUAAGCGGAGGAAAAGAAACCAACAGGGAUUGCCCCAGUAACGGCGAGUGAAGCGGCAAGAGCUCAAAUUUGAAAGCUGGCUCCUUCGGGGUCCGCAUUGUAAUUUGCAGAGGAUGCUUCGGGAGCGGUCCCCAUCUAAGUGCCCUGGAACGGGACGUCAUAGAGGGUGAAAAUCCCGUAUGGGAUGGGGUGUCCGCGCCCAUGUGAAGCUCCUUCGACGAGUCGAGUUGUUUGGGAAUGCAGCUCUAAAUGGGUGGUAAAUUUCAUCUAAAGCUAAAUAUUGGCCGGAGACCGAUAGCGCACAAGUAGAGUGAUCGAAAGAUGAAAAGCACUUUGAAAAGAGAGUUAAAAAGCACGUGAAAUUGUUGAAAGGGAAGCGCUUGCGAUCAGACUCGCUCGCGGGGUUCAGCCGGCAUUCGUGCCGGUGUACUUCCCCGCGGGCGGGCCAGCGUCGGUUUGGGCGGUCGGUCAAAGGCCCUCGGAAGGUAACGCCCCCUCGGGGGCGUCUUAUAGCCGAGGGUGCAAUGCGACCUGCCUGGACCGAGGAACGCGCUUCGGCUCGGACGCUG
This 615-nucleotide ribosomal RNA is filed under the name Penicillium simile. RNAcentral describes it as "eukaryotic LSU rRNA". It matches the Rfam family "Eukaryotic large subunit ribosomal RNA", at positions 1 to 628 of the family's 3401-position model. Lineage: Eukaryota; Fungi; Ascomycota; Eurotiomycetes; Eurotiales; Aspergillaceae. The record is from RNAcentral.